Molecule: ribosomal RNA, 663 nt
Filed under: uncultured fungus
Lineage: Eukaryota; Fungi
Description: eukaryotic LSU rRNA
Rfam family: Eukaryotic large subunit ribosomal RNA
Source: RNAcentral
CCCGCUGAACUUAAGCAUAUCAUUAAGCGGAGGAAGAGAAACUAACAAGGAUUCCCUUAGCUAACUGCGAGUGAAGUGGGAAAAGCUCAAAUUUAGAAUCUGGCAGCCACUUGGCUGUCCGAGUUGUAAUCUAAAGAAGUGUUGCCCGUGCUGGACCAUGUACAAGUCUCCUGGAAUGGAGCAUCACAGAGGGUGAGAAUCCUGUCUUUGACAUGUGACUGCCAGUGCUUUUGUGGUACGCUGCUCAAAGAGUCGAGUUGUUUGGGAAUGCAGCUCAAAAUGGGUGGUAAAUGCCAUCUAAAGCUAGAUAUUGGCGAGAGACCGAUAGCGAACAAGUACCGUGAGGGAAAGAUGAAAAGAACUUUGGAAAGAGAGUUAAACAGUACGUGAAAUUGCUGAAAGGGAAACGCUUGAAGUCAGUCACGUUGACUUGGAAUCAGCUCUGCUUUUGCUGGGUGUACUUUCUUGUCAAUGGGUCAGCAUCAAUUUUGACCAUUGGAUAAAGUUGCUGGGAAUGUAGCAUCCUUUUGGAUGUGUUAUAGCCUGGUGAUGCAUACAGUGGUUGGGAUUGAGGAAUUCAGCACGCCACCAGGCCGGGUUUUGACCACGUUCGUGCUUAGGAUGCUGGCAUAAUGGCUUUAAUUGACCCGUCUUGAAACACGG